Molecule: long non-coding RNA, 807 nt
Organism: Vespula pensylvanica (western yellowjacket)
Lineage: Eukaryota; Metazoa; Arthropoda; Insecta; Hymenoptera; Vespidae
Exons: 2
Source: RefSeq, a predicted model, not a curated record
UUUUCUUUUCUUUCUUUCUUUUUUUUUUUCUUUUUAAGGAUUUUCGAGUAAUUUUCCAUUAAAACUUUACGUCGUAUCUGAAGAUUUUAUCGAAUAAAACGAUUUGCGUUCGAAAAAAAGAAAAAGAAAAGGUUCCACGUAAAGUGCUGUUACGAACGUCCGGUAAUGAGCGCGACCGAGUGUGUUCACUUAUACGUCCGUGACACUCUUCGAUAUUUCCGUGCAACUAAUGCAUCGCGUUCUUAUUUACGAGAAAGGAAUAUCGGUAAAUAAUCUACCGUCGGUAACGAAGAUCGUUUUAUAAUCAACUGGAGAUAAAGAAGUUUUUACGGUGGAUAACAUAGAAAACUGUAUACAUUUUUAUGUAUCAUCGUGGCUCCAUAGAUAGCACCACUAUCAUUUUCGAAAGUAAAAGGGUUGUUUCUUGGAUGUUACAACAGGGUUUUUAUUUUACAAAAAAGGAAAAAAGAAGACAAAAUAAAAAAAAAAAGAAGCAAAAGAAAUAAAUAAUCAUUAUAAAAUGAUUAAAAUUACUCAAAGUACAUAUAUCGAAGAAUUGUAAAAGAUCGAUAAGAAGAUAGGAUGUACCGGUUCAAGGCGAAGGAACGUACUUUAACAAGCGACACCGGCUAUUAGCAGAAUUGUAUGGCUUAUCUCUGAACGAGUCGCCGCACCUUCUUACAGACGCUGCCAGAAUCGAGAGGUUGGUCGAGUGCCUUUAGAAAACUCAGCGCCCCUUUUCGUAGGAGCGAGUUUCACAAAGCCGUCUUUUAUGACGUCGCUUUCGCUUUCCUCUUGCUCGAUGUA